AGCUUAGUUGCCAUCAUUAAGUUGGGCACUCUAAGUUGACUGCCGGUGACAAACCGGAGGAAGGUGGGGAUGACGUCAAAUCAUCAUGCCCCUUAUGAUUUGGGCUACACACGUGCUACAAUGGACAAUACAAAGGGCAGCGAAACCGCGAGGUCAAGCAAAUCCCAUAAAGUUGUUCUCAGUUCGGAUUGUAGUCUGCAACUCGACUACAUGAAGCUGGAAUCGCUAGUAAUCGUAGAUCAGCAUGCUACGGUGAAUACGUUCCCGGGUCUUGUACACACCGCCCGUCACACCACGAGAGUUUGUAACACCCGAAGCCGGUGGAGUAACCAUUUGGAGCUAGCCGUCGAAGGUGGGACAAAUGAUUGGGGUGAAGUCGUAACAAGGUAGCCGUAUCGGAAGGUGCGGCUGGAUCACCUCCUUUCUAAGGA
This 431-nucleotide ribosomal RNA is filed under the name Salmonella enterica subsp. enterica serovar Enteritidis. Its description in RNAcentral is "bacterial SSU rRNA". It matches the Rfam family "Bacterial small subunit ribosomal RNA", at positions 1108 to 1533 of the family's 1533-position model. Lineage: Bacteria; Pseudomonadati; Pseudomonadota; Gammaproteobacteria; Enterobacterales; Enterobacteriaceae. The record is from RNAcentral.